CCUCCUCGCGUCUGCCUCCCUCAACGCCUCUGCCUUUUCUCCCUCCCUUCAACCCUCCUCCCGCAGACCCACGUGGGACGUUUCGAUGACAGGCCCUGGAACAGGAGGACGCCCUAGCGGAUCUGCCACAGCUGAACACAAGCGGAUGCUGGGAUGCGCCUGAUGGACACAGUGCGCAUCCUGUGUAGACCCCCGCAAUAUCCGGGGUUCCGGGCUCGGCCUGUCAUCCGGUCCAGGAAAUAUGAGCCCCUAGGGAGCCUCUGCGUGGCUAAUCUGACUGCUGUCUCCUCUAGUGAGCUGCCAUCAAGGGAGGCCCUGUGGUACUUCCAGAAGCACCAGACAUAGGAAAAGACUUCCAAGAGGAACCCGGAGUUCUGAUCAUGCCCUACCCUCCUAUCAUUCAGGACUGCGUGGUGGGCAGUACAGACAGACAAAUAGACAGGCAGUACAGCAGAUCAAGUCACUGACCAAGCAUGAAAUCUGAGCUGCAUGAGAAAGCAGGAGAAUUCAUUAUUCCCUCAGUCAACUUUCUCCUUAAGUAUGUGAAAAUGAAAGAAGGGCAGACAAUUUUAGACAUAUGAAAUUAAAUAACAUAGGCCUAAAUAAAUACAUAAAUAAAAUAGUCCCUCGCAGUGUACAGUUCUGAAUAGCGGCAAGCUGUUAACAGCCUCGUCGUGUAUGUUCUAAGGCAAUGUGUGUAGAAAACUUUGGGCUAAGUGGUGUUUGUAAAUUUCACCUUUUGAAGCCUGUCUUUGUCCUUGAAUACCCCAAACUAUGACAAGGGCUUUGAAUAUUACCCCCUGCUAGUGAGAGGAGGGAAGGGGGAAGAGAAGGAUGUCACUUCCUCUGCUGCCCCUCCCCAGUAUGUUGACUAUUGGUGCUUUUUUUUUUUUUUUUCCUGAGAUGGGUAGAAUGGAAAAUUAGAGACCUAGACCCAGUCAUACAGGCUCUCACCCUCUCCAGUGCAAAGAAAGGCUGCUGAACUCAACCGUAAGCUGGCCAACAGGAGAGGACAUUUGAUAGCAUUGAGCAUGCCUGGUCGUGUUCUAAGGAAAGGGGAAAAAAAAAACCCUACUGCAGAUAAAUCGGAAUUUGUUUUCAGGUUCUGCCAUCUCCGGUGAUGAACUUAAUCUCCUUGAGCUUCAUUUUCCUCCAUCUCCGAAGGGAUAACUGGGACUGCAUUAACAUAGACUAAUAAAAGCAAACAAGCAGAGAGCACCUACCACGUUUGUAAACUGCCCCGGGCGCUCCAGACAAACUCAUAAUCAUUCUGUGAUGUUAACCGUUCAGAAAGAAUGGGACACAAGAAGUUACGUGACUAUAGCUUGGCCUCGGCACCCAUUUAAAUGCUGGGUUGGCUUAGUAGCACCACACCUAUAACCCUGUGGCUCAGGAAGCAGAGACGGGAGAUCCAUCCCUGGAACAGGCUGACUAGAUGGACUGGUUGAAUGAAUAAGGUGUGUGACCAAGCAAGAGACUCUCCACAGAUGAGGUAGAGAGAGACUGAGGAAGACACCAAAAGCAGCUGCACACAGUGCACGCUGUUUCAAAAGGACCACUCUGGUGGGCCAUUUCUGAGUGUUGCUUAUGCUUAAAGUUCUACGGACUAAACGCAGAUCCACAUACUCCCAAUUUCCAAGGAAAACUUUAUAGACCAUCGCAACCUAGUUGGGGUAUGCACUGGCCUGGGUAUUUAUGCUUCCUAAGGGACCUAAAGUUACGAUUUCGGAUAAAACCCAAUUCCGGCACACAUUCCAGUGCCAAAGGUUGUCCUAUUUUUUCCUCCCAAUGGAAAAUGCACUGAACCAAAAAGAAAUGUUUAUCUUGCUCAUGUACUGAAACGCUUAAACAGGGGAGAGCAAGCUUGGGUCUCACCCUAGCAAGUGAGUUCCAAAUAAAGCUAUCUUUACCCCAAACAUACUUCCAUCGAAAAUAGCACAUUGAACCCCACAGUGUCCAACAACAAGAAGGAAUUAUGUCAGUAGGGGUUCACCAGAGAAUUAGAACCCAUAGGGUAUGUGGACAGAGAUUUAUUUUAAGGGAUUGGCUUACACAACUGUGGGAGCUGGCAGGUCUCAGAUCCCCAGGGCAGGUGCAAGACAGUUCAGCAGGCUAGACCCAGGGAAAACUGGUACUGUAGUCUGAAGUCCCAGUCAGAUAUCCUUUCUCAGUCUUUUAAGACCUUCAGCAAGGAAGAGAAGGCACACCCAUGUCAUGAUUGGAGGACGCCUGCUUUACGUAAAGUCUUUGGUCUGAGUGCU
This 2261-nucleotide small RNA is filed under the name Rattus norvegicus (Norway rat). RNAcentral's name for it is "uncharacterized LOC100912202". The record is from RNAcentral. Lineage: Eukaryota; Metazoa; Chordata; Mammalia; Rodentia; Muridae.